UACAGAGGGGGCAAGCGUUGUUCGGAAUUACUGGGCGUAAAGGGCGCGUAGGCGGCAAUUCAAGUCAGCUGUGAAAUCUCCGGGCUUAACUCGGAACGGUCAGCUGAUACUGCUUUGCUAGAGUGCAGAAGGGGCAAUCGGAAUUCUUGGUGUAGCGGUGAAAUGCGUAGAUAUCAAGAGGAACACCUGAGGUGAAGACGGGUUGCUGGGCUGACACUGACGCUGAGGCGCGAAAGCUAGGGUAGCAAACGGG
This 253-nucleotide ribosomal RNA is filed under the name uncultured bacterium. RNAcentral describes it as "partial 16S ribosomal RNA". It matches the Rfam family "Bacterial small subunit ribosomal RNA", at positions 524 to 776 of the family's 1533-position model. The record is from RNAcentral.